This 798-nucleotide ribosomal RNA is filed under the name uncultured Bacillota bacterium. Its description in RNAcentral is "bacterial SSU rRNA". It matches the Rfam family "Bacterial small subunit ribosomal RNA", at positions 58 to 889 of the family's 1533-position model. The record is from RNAcentral. Lineage: Bacteria; Bacillati; Bacillota.
CAAGUCGAACGAGAAAGUGGAGCAAUCCAUGAGUACAGUGGCGUACGGGUGAGUAACACGUGGGUAAUCUACCUCUUAGUGGGGAAUAACCGAGGGAAACCUUGGCUAAUACCGCAUAAGCCUGAGAAGGGAAAGCAGCAAUGCGCUGAGAGAGGAGCCCGCGGCUGAUUAGCUAGUUGGUGGGGUAAGAGCCCACCAAGGCAGAGAUCGGUAGCCGGCCUGAGAGGGCACACGGCCACACUGGCACUGAAACACGGGCCAGACUCCUACGGGAGGCAGCAGUGGGGAAUCUUGCACAAUGGGGGAAACCCUGAUGCAGCGACGCCGCGUGAGCGAUGAAGCCCUUCGGGGUGUAAAGCUCUUUCGUCAGGGAAGAUUAUGACGGUACCUGGAGAAGCAGCUGCGGCUAACUACGUGCCAGCAGCCGCGGUAAUACGUAGGCAGCAAGCGUUGUUCGGAGUUACUGGGCGUAAAGGGUGUGUAGGCGGUUCUUUAAGUUUGGUGUGAAAUCUCCCGGCUCAACUGGGAGGGUGCGCCGAAUACUGAGGGACUAGAGUACGGGAGAGGAAAGUGGAAUUCCUGGUGUAGCGGUGAAAUGCGUAGAUAUCAGGAGGAACACCGGUGGUGUAGACGGCUUUCUGGACCGACACUGACGCUGAGACACGAAAGCGUGGGUAGCAAACAGGAUUAGAUACCCUGGUAGUCCACGCCCUAAACGAUGCAUAUUUGGUGUGGGCAGUUCAUUCUGUCCGUGCCGGAGCUAACGCGUUAAAUAUGCCGCCUGGGGAGUACAGUCGC